AGGAAAGGAACCUACCCAUCAGAAGAGGUUUGAACUAGAAGACGAAAAAGAUAAGAAGAUGCCCCAUUUUUUAAAGGUAUAGGUUUGGGAAAAUGGGGUUUUAUAGGGGUGUGAAGGCUUGAUUGCGAGUUUUUUGGUAGGAGACUACUUACCAAGGCUUCGUAGGAAAGAGGCCUUGGAAAAGUGGAAUUCAUUCUGCUCCGAAAGAGCCUUGGACAGAAAAGCAAAACGAAG
This 234-nucleotide long non-coding RNA is filed under the name Coffea arabica (coffee). RNAcentral describes it as "long non-coding RNA (CARA_LNC008404)". Lineage: Eukaryota; Viridiplantae; Streptophyta; Magnoliopsida; Gentianales; Rubiaceae. The record is from RNAcentral.